Orcinus orca (killer whale) is the source of this 536-nucleotide long non-coding RNA. RefSeq lists it as uncharacterized. NCBI's taxonomy places the organism in Eukaryota, Metazoa, Chordata, Mammalia, Artiodactyla, Delphinidae. The transcript is spliced from 3 exons. The record is from RefSeq and is a predicted model, not a curated record.
GGGACGGCGCACGGCGCAUGGAGCAGGACGACACCCUGACCUCUCCGUGGUUGUGGUCGGGGCUUUGACCAGCGGCUGCGGCCUUCCACCGGUGGCCAUCGUCACCGUGACUUGUUCCUGCUCAGGCAAGGCCAGGACGCGGAGGAAGAGGCUUUGUGAGCACAGACAGAGCAGGUGCCAUGCGAGCAGUGGCCAGGCUUGCCCAUGUUGCAGGACAUCAGGGGCUGAUCCUGGGAGGUUCAACCCAAGGUUCUUCGUGGAGACACCGCGGCUUUCCAUUUCCUCAGAGGCGUAGGACGAGUCUGCCGAGACUUCCCAGUCCGGGAACAGUGCGGUGUCCUUAUGCCCCUCGCCUCGGAAGAGGAACGAGAUCCCCUGGGCCCAGGGUUCCGUCUCAGGUCCUUUUCAUUCCACAUUCCUGUGGGGAGAAGAUAAAUCUGCUGCAAGUUUAAGGACACAUUCAAAUCCAGGUGAGUUUAGUGUGAGAGAUAGUGGAAAAGGAGACAGUGAAUUGAAUGACAACAGUUCUGAUAUCA